RNAcentral lists this ribosomal RNA (465 nucleotides) under uncultured Klebsiella sp. RNAcentral describes it as "bacterial SSU rRNA". It matches the Rfam family "Bacterial small subunit ribosomal RNA", at positions 338 to 795 of the family's 1533-position model. The record is from RNAcentral. Lineage: Bacteria; Pseudomonadati; Pseudomonadota; Gammaproteobacteria; Enterobacterales; Enterobacteriaceae.
CCUACGGGGGGCUGCAGUGGGGAAUAUUGCACAAUGGGCGCAAGCCUGAUGCAGCCAUGCCGCGUGUGUGAAGAAGGCCUUCGGGUUGUAAAGCACUUUCAGCGGGGAGGAAGGCGUUAAGGUUAAUAACCUUGGCGAUUGACGUUACCCGCAGAAGAAGCACCGGCUAACUCCGUGCCAGCAGCCGCGGUAAUACGGAGGGUGCAAGCGUUAAUCGGAAUUACUGGGCGUAAAGCGCACGCAGGCGGUCUGUCAAGUCGGAUGUGAAAUCCCCGGGCUCAACCUGGGAACUGCAUUCGAAACUGGCAGGCUAGAGUCUUGUAGAGGGGGGUAGAAUUCCAGGUGUAGUGGUGAAAUGCGUAGAGAUCUGGAGGAAUACCGGUGGCGAAGGCGGCCCCCUGGACAAAGACUGGCGCUCAGGUGCGAAAGCGUGGGGAGCAAACAGGAUUAGAUACCCUAGUAGUC